UAAAAGGGUUAGUUGGCUAAUUAUGCACACUCUCCCUCGUCUGGUGAAUGCCGUAUGGCUAUUAAGACAUAUGACCGACAUAAUUUAUAAAACUUUGUAGGGUUGUCUUGUUUGGCCGACUUUUUU
Small nuclear RNA from Mercurialis annua (annual mercury), 126 nucleotides. RefSeq annotates it as U11 spliceosomal RNA. The record is from RefSeq and is a predicted model, not a curated record. The transcript has a single exon. NCBI's taxonomy places the organism in Eukaryota, Viridiplantae, Streptophyta, Magnoliopsida, Malpighiales, Euphorbiaceae.